UACGGAGGAUCCGAGCGUUAUCCGGAUUUAUUGGGUUUAAAGGGUGCGCAGGCGGGAUGUUAAGUCGGCGGUGAAAUUUUGCAGCUCAACUGUAAAAGUGCCUUCGAUACUGGCUUCCUUGAGUGUGGAUGAAGUAGGCGGAAUUUGUGGUGUAGCGGUGAAAUGCUUAGAUAUCACGAGGAACUCCGAUUGCGCAGGCAGCUUACUAAACCACUACUGACGCUCAUGCACGAAGGCGUGGGGAUCAAACAGGAUUAGAUACCCGU
RNAcentral lists this ribosomal RNA (266 nucleotides) under uncultured prokaryote. RNAcentral describes it as "partial 16S ribosomal RNA". It matches the Rfam family "Bacterial small subunit ribosomal RNA", at positions 524 to 789 of the family's 1533-position model. The record is from RNAcentral.